RNAcentral lists this ribosomal RNA (688 nucleotides) under uncultured Enterobacteriaceae bacterium. Its description in RNAcentral is "bacterial SSU rRNA". It matches the Rfam family "Bacterial small subunit ribosomal RNA", at positions 813 to 1502 of the family's 1533-position model. The record is from RNAcentral. Lineage: Bacteria; Pseudomonadati; Pseudomonadota; Gammaproteobacteria; Enterobacterales; Enterobacteriaceae.
CGAUUUGGAGUUUGUUGCCUAGAGUGAUGGGCUCCGAAGCUAACGCGAUAAAUCGACCGCCUGGGAGUACGGCCGCAAGGUUAAAACUCAAAUGAAUUGACGGGGGCCCGCACAAGCGGUGGAGCAUGUGGUUUAAUUCGAUGCAACGCGAAGAACCUUACCUGGUCUUGACAUCCAUAGAAUUCUGCAGAGAUGUGGGAGUGCCUUCGGGAACUAUGAGACAGGUGCUGCAUGGCUGUCGUCAGCUCGUGUUGUGAAAUGUUGGGUUAAGUCCCGCAACGAGCGCAACCCUUAUUCUUUGUUGCCAGCGAUUUGGUCGGGAACUCAAAGGAGACUGCCGUUGAUAAAGCGGAGGAAGGUGGGGACGACGUCAAGUCAUCAUGGCCCUUACGACCAGGGCUACACAUGUGCUACAAUGGCGUAUACAAAGGGAAGCGAAGGUGCGAGCUGGAGCGGAUCUCAUAAAGUACGUCUAAGUUCGGAUUGGAGUCUGCAACUCGACUCCAUGAAGUCGGAAUCGCUAGUAAUCGUAGAUCAGAAUGCUACGGUGAAUACGUUCCCGGGCCUUGUACACACCGCCCGUCACACCAUGGGAGUGGGUUGCACCAGAAGUAGAUAGCUUAACCGCGAGGGGGGCGUUUACCACGGUGUGAUUCAUGACUGGGGUGAAGUCGUAACAAGGUAACCA